AGCAUCACUCUGGCAUAUAUGAUGCCAGGGAGCAAACUCAAGUCUCCUGCUUGGCAGUCCAACAUUUUAUCCAACUGCGCCAUCUCCUAGGUCGCCUGCUUACUCAACUGCACGCUUUGAUGGGGUGGUUUGGGAGGAAGGGUCUAACUCCUGCCCCCCCCCCCCCCGCAAGCCGUCCCCUGAACUGCCCUAAGACUUUGGGAAGGUGGAGCCAACCUCUUCUCGCACCCCUGCGGGCAGAACCGGGAAGGGGGAGAAGGGACUGACAGCACAGCUCCAAGGCAGAUGAAGUUUCUAUCUCUAAGACUGUGGCAACUUCCAGACUGAGGAAGUAAAAGUCCCUGAGGAGGGAAAAGAGACAGGAAAGAGAAAGAUACCACAGUACUCCACCAUCCAUGGGCUCCCCUGAUGCUAUCCAUGGUGCUUCAUGUAGCAUAGCAAUUCAAACCCAAGACUCCAUGCAUAGAUCAGAGGGUGCUUUCUUUACCACUUUUCUAUAUGAAUACUUGAAAUACAUAUCACACAGUCUGCCAAGAAGGUUCGCAUUUUGAUGGACACUAAUCCCAUAGCUCGAGUGAGCAAAUCAGGUAAACAGCAACCUCAGGGACCAGCAGGAGGAGAUUCCCAGAUCAUGGUCUCUUGUGAUUUCAUUCCCCAAUCUACUGACAAGUAAACUUGGUACAGGAGGUAGGAGAAAGGCCCCUUGUAAUAGUUUUCUUGUCCCAUCUAAGGCAGAAAUCAGAACAAUAAGGAACAGAAG
Long non-coding RNA from Erinaceus europaeus (western European hedgehog), 760 nucleotides. RefSeq lists it as uncharacterized. Lineage: Eukaryota; Metazoa; Chordata; Mammalia; Eulipotyphla; Erinaceidae. The record is from RefSeq and is a predicted model, not a curated record. The transcript is spliced from 3 exons.